UGGGAUAAUACUAAUAAAGGGUUACACAAAUGAAAAACAAAUGAAAACAGCUUGAUGUUCAUUUUAGAACUUUGCUCUCAGAAGUAUAUAAACAGCUUGAUCUAGCAGUCAUAAACCAAUAACGUAAAGAACAGAGAAUGUAGAUAGAUUGAAGAUGAAGAAGCCAUCUUGUUUUUGUACUAUUUUUACACAGGUGUCUCUUUGCUUUGCUCUCUACCUUGCUCUCAACUUGGGUCAGCCUAUUUACAGCAAGAGAAGUGAUAGUAGAGCUCUUGAUCUUUACUUUAUCAGUGUUAGAGGGGGUUUCAGACCUCUUAAGCAACAAACCCAGCUUCUAAAACUGAUGGAGAAAGUGGCAAAGGUUUACAAUGUGAGUUUUGUGGUGAACACUAGUGAGCUGGGAGAAGACGAUCCACUUAUGCAGAAUGGUACCAUGCUUUUCCCAUCACUGAAAGUUCCCUGGUUUACUACUAGAACAUCUAAAGGACAUGGAGAAAGUUACUUCCAUGAGCAGAUAAAGAUACCUUUCGGGAAUACUUUAGACAUUAUUGGUGUGGAUACUGGGUCAUUGCAGGAUUCAAUGCUUACAGGACCAUCAAGGGAAAUUGGACAAAAUCAGUUACAUUGGCUGACAAAGACACUAGAAGCAACCAGUAGUAACUGGCGUAUGGUUGUUGGAUUCCACCCGCUGGUUGUUUGUGAAGAGAACAAAGAGCAAGUGGAGGCAAAGCAAUUUUAUGAGCCUCUACGCCAUAUUUUUGUGAAAUUUGGAGUUAAUGUGUACCUAAGUGGGCAGGGUUGUUCUAAACAUGUCAAUCAUGUUAAUGUAGCUUACAUUGGGAAUCCAACCCCAAGAGAGAAUGAAUCAUAUUUUACAUCUGUGAAGGGAAAGUAAGUCUUUAAUGGAGAAUUGGUUAAUGGGUUUCUUCUUCACAGUGUCAGCUCACUAGAGAUUGUAAUCUACUUUAUUAACUCGGCUGGGGAAGUUGUGCAUAAAACUGUACUCCAACAGACGGGGAAGGAGGUGAUGUAAAAUUUUUAUUUGAAGCCAUGAUAAAUUUGCUUCAAUGUUUUUCCCCCACAUUUACUUGAAUUGUCCCCCAAUCCGCAAAAAUAUUUCCCAUGUAGAUGCCUUUUGUCUUCAGUAGGCUUUCAACCCUCUGACAUUAUAGGUCCAAGUGAUAAUUCAGCUUGAAUUUUUUUUUUCCUUGUUGGUGUAAACUUGCAAUUUGUUUCUUAUUAUAAAUAGUACCUUUAGCAAGA
RNA transcript from Quercus lobata, 1263 nucleotides. It is a transcript of the gene named Calcineurin-like metallo-phosphoesterase superfamily protein, with no coding region annotated. NCBI's taxonomy places the organism in Eukaryota, Viridiplantae, Streptophyta, Magnoliopsida, Fagales, Fagaceae. The transcript has 9 exons. The record is from RefSeq and is a predicted model, not a curated record.